GAUGAACGCUGGCGGCGUGCCUAAUACAUGCAAGUCGAGCGAACGGACGAGAAGCUUGCUUCUCUGAUGUUAGCGGCGGACGGGUGUGUAACACGUGGAUAACCUACCUAUAAGACUGGGAUAACUUCGGGAAACCGGAGCUAAUACCGGAUAAUAUUUUGAACCGCAUGGUUCAAAAGUGAAAGACGGUCUUGCUGUCACUUAUAGAUGGAUCCGCGCUGCAUUAGCUAGUUGGUAAGGUAACGGCUUACCAAGGCAACGAUGCAUAGCCGACCUGAGAGGGUGAUCGGCCGCACUGGAACUGAGACACGGUCCAGACUCCUACGGGAGGCAGCAGUAGGGAAUCUUCCGCAAUGGGCGAAAGCCUGACGGAGCAACGCCGCGUGAGUGAUGAAGGUCUUCGGAUCGUAAAACUCUGUUAUUAGGGAAGAACAUAUGUGUAAGUAACUGUGCACAUCUUGACGGUACCUAAUCAGAAAGCCACGGCUAACUACGUG
RNAcentral lists this ribosomal RNA (497 nucleotides) under uncultured bacterium. RNAcentral describes it as "partial 16S ribosomal RNA". It matches the Rfam family "Bacterial small subunit ribosomal RNA", at positions 28 to 507 of the family's 1533-position model. The record is from RNAcentral.